AAGACCACUUAAUAAGGCUGCUAACCUUUAUUUAAUGCAAAUCAUUUGGUCUUU
RNAcentral lists this transfer RNA (54 nucleotides) under Proknekalia peringueyi. RNAcentral's name for it is "Argas peringueyi tRNA-Ser". Lineage: Eukaryota; Metazoa; Arthropoda; Arachnida; Ixodida; Argasidae. The record is from RNAcentral.